CAGCCGCCGCGGUAAUACGAAGGGGGCGAGCGUUGCUCGGAAUGACUGGGCGUAAAGGGCGCGUAGGUGGCGUGCACAGUCAGAUGUGAAAUUCCUGGGCUCAACCUGGGGGCUGCAUUUGAUACGUGCGUGCUAGAGUGUGGAAGAGGGUCGUGGAAUUCCCAGUGUAGAGGUGAAAUUCGUAGAUAUUGGGAAGAACACCGGUGGCGAAGGCGGCGACCUGGUCCAUUACUGACGCUGAGGCGCGAAAGCGUGGGGAGCAAACAGGAUUAGAUACCCCAGUAGUCCCUGUCUCUUAUAC
This 301-nucleotide ribosomal RNA is filed under the name uncultured bacterium. Its description in RNAcentral is "partial 16S ribosomal RNA". It matches the Rfam family "Bacterial small subunit ribosomal RNA", at positions 509 to 807 of the family's 1533-position model. The record is from RNAcentral.